CCCUACGGGGGGCAGCAGUGGGGAAUAUUGGGCAAUGGAGGCAACUCUGACCCAGCAACGCCGCGUGAAUGAUGAAGGUCUUCGGAUUGUAAAGUUCUUUUCUAAGGGAAGAAGAAAGUGACGGUACCUUAGGAAUAAGCCUCGGCUAACUACGUGCCAGCAGCCGCGGUAAUACGUAGGAGGCAAGCGUUAUCCGGAAUGACUGGGCGUAAAGGGUGCGUAGGUGGUUUGACAAGUUAGUAGCGCAACUCCGGAGCUUAACUUCGGAACUACUACUAAAACUGUUGGACUUGAGUGCAGGAGGG
RNAcentral lists this ribosomal RNA (305 nucleotides) under uncultured bacterium. RNAcentral describes it as "bacterial SSU rRNA". It matches the Rfam family "Bacterial small subunit ribosomal RNA", at positions 337 to 656 of the family's 1533-position model. The record is from RNAcentral.